CAGUAGCCGCGGUAAAACAGAGGGUGCAAGCGUUAAUCGGAAUUACUGGGCGUAAAGUGCGCGUAGGUGGUUUGUUAAGUUGGAUGUGAAAUCCCCGGGCUCAACCUGGGAACUGCAUCCAAAACUGGCAAGCUAGAGUAUGGUAGAGGGUGGUGGAAUUUCCUGUGUAGCGGUGAAAUGCGUAGAUAUAGGAAGGAACACCAGUGGCGAAGGCGACCACCUGGACUGAUACUGACACUGAGGUGCGAAAGCGUGGGGAGCAAACAGGAUUAGAUACCCCAGUAGUCCCUGUCUCUUAUAC
Molecule: ribosomal RNA, 301 nt
Filed under: uncultured bacterium
Lineage: Bacteria
Description: partial 16S ribosomal RNA
Rfam family: Bacterial small subunit ribosomal RNA
Source: RNAcentral